Molecule: unclassified non-coding RNA, 355 nt
Filed under: fungal sp.
Lineage: Eukaryota; Fungi
Description: partial internal transcribed spacer region
Rfam family: Eukaryotic small subunit ribosomal RNA (bases 1-46)
Source: RNAcentral
AAGUCGUAACAAGGUUUCCGUAGGUGAACCUGCGGAAGGAUCAUUAUCACGUAUCCACGUAUAAACCAUUGUGAACCGUUCAUUAACCUUUGUUUUUUUCGAUCAAGAGAGUUGCGAGUCAAACGUUUAAAACAGCAAUAGUAAUUGAGCUGUUGUUUGAAGCGCCGCAGUCGAUGUUUCUCUCCGGAGUUCUCGACUACGCUUGUGAAAAAUUCAAAGUGUAUUCAAUUACUACUUAUUAACCAUUAUAACCCAAUCUUUAUAACUUUAUGAACUAACUUUAUUUUAUACUCUUCGGAGAUAAAAUUCAUUACGAAACAAAGAACAACUCUUAGCAACGGAUAUCUUGGUUCUC